Molecule: ribosomal RNA, 305 nt
Filed under: uncultured bacterium
Lineage: Bacteria
Description: bacterial SSU rRNA
Rfam family: Bacterial small subunit ribosomal RNA
Source: RNAcentral
UCCUACGGGGCGCAGCAGUGGGGAAUAUUGCACAAUGGGGGAAACCCUGAUGCAGCGACGCCGCGUGAGUGAGGAAGUAUUUCGGUAUGUAAAGCUCUAUCAGCAGGGAAGAAAAUGACGGUACCUGACUAAGAAGCCCCGGCUAACUACGUGCCAGCAGCCGCGGUAAUACGUAGGGGGCGAGCGUUAUCCGGAAUUACUGGGUGUAAAGGGAGCGUAGACGGCGAGGUAAGCCUGAAGUGGAAGCCCGCGGCCCAACCGCGGAACUGCUUUGGGAACUGCCAGGCUGGAGUGCCGGAGAGGCA